Molecule: long non-coding RNA, 469 nt
Filed under: Mus musculus (house mouse)
Lineage: Eukaryota; Metazoa; Chordata; Mammalia; Rodentia; Muridae
Description: long non-coding RNA chr13:23103453-23103922
Source: RNAcentral
AUGCCCUCUGACCUGGCCAGGAAGAAGGCAGCCAAGAAGAAGAAAGCUGCCAAAGUUCCAUUUCAGCCCAGUAGGAAACAUGAAGAAAAUGGUGAUGCUGUCAUAGAACCUCAGGUGGCAGAGGAGAAAAAAAUAAGGAGACCAAUGGCAGAAAGCCUGAAGGUAAUAGAGAAUUGGAUUUGGUGACCAAGGAGCUAGAGGAUUUGAAAUGAAGAAAGCUGCUUCUCGAUCUGUCAUGGGCAUCCUAGCCUCACACCCCAACAAUACCGACAUCCACAUUAUCAACCUCUCACUCAGCUUUCAUGGUCAAGAGCUGCUCAGUGAAAACAAACUGCAAUUAAACUAAGGCCGGCAUUAUAGCCUCAUUAGAUUAGAUGGAAUUGGAAAAUCCAUGCUGCUGUAUGCUAUGGGGAAACUUGAAGUGCUCAUGCCUGAGCACAUGGGUACCUACCAUCUGACCCAUGAGAUG